This 74-nucleotide transfer RNA is filed under the name Saprospira sp. SS90-1. Its description in RNAcentral is "tRNA-Ile". It matches the Rfam family "tRNA". From Rfam's summary of the family: Transfer RNA (tRNA) molecules are approximately 80 nucleotides in length. Their secondary structure includes four short double-helical elements and three loops (D, anti-codon, and T loops). The record is from RNAcentral. Lineage: Bacteria; Pseudomonadati; Bacteroidota; Saprospiria; Saprospirales; Saprospiraceae.
AGUCCCAUAGCUCAGCUGGUUAGAGUACUACACUGAUAAUGUAGGGGUCGGCAGUUCAAGUCUGCCUGGGACUA